CUUCAAGAUGGAACACCAUAGGGACGCUGCCCGGGAAGAAACAGCACAGGGUUGCUCUCAGUGUUCAGGCCUGAAUUUCUAGUUAAGGGUCUUGUACUAUUCCAAAAACAUGCUGUGCAGCUGAAAACAACUGUAAACUCCUGACCCUUCUGCCUCUACCUUGUGAAUGUUGGGAUGACAGGUUCACAACGCCACACUUGGCUCAGCUAACUUCUGUUCAGUACUAGGGAUGGAACCCAUGACUUCACAGUGCCAGCAAACACUCUACCACUGAGCUGUCCCUCCCGCUCCUACUGCUUUACUCUGGCCAUCACUCCAUUGCCUAAACAAGCAAGGGAAAGGCCUGAGAAGGAGCAGAUUGUCCUCCCACCAUGCUGGGAGCUGAGCACCAGGACUGUUUCCUCCAGAGCGGGUGAGGGGACCACACACCGCAGAGGAGGAUGCAGUGGCAGCAGCCUAGACUCCUGCUCAGAGUUGCCAGAAGCUUGGUGCACCCAUCUAUUCUGCAGACAAGAAAGUCACACCUGAGCAAACUAGCAAAAACCUUGGAAUGUGAGCAUGUUGCAAGAUGGUCACAGCAAAAGGUGCCUCAGCAAGAAAACAGAUGUCCAACAGGCACAUUUAAAAAUAGCACAGUGACCCAGGAGGAUCAACAGGGAACAGCAUUCUACUUCUCCAGCCCUGGGACAAGCUACUAUUCAGUAUAACUUUCUCUUCAUAUCACAGAAUACUUUUUUCUUUUAUCUAUCUACCUGUCUAUUUAUUUUUGAGACUGGAUC
This is a long non-coding RNA of Myodes glareolus (Bank vole), 779 nucleotides long. RefSeq lists it as uncharacterized. The record is from RefSeq and is a predicted model, not a curated record. NCBI's taxonomy places the organism in Eukaryota, Metazoa, Chordata, Mammalia, Rodentia, Cricetidae.